This 752-nucleotide ribosomal RNA is filed under the name Salmonella enterica. Its description in RNAcentral is "partial 23S ribosomal RNA". It matches the Rfam family "Bacterial large subunit ribosomal RNA", at positions 2182 to 2925 of the family's 2925-position model. The record is from RNAcentral. Lineage: Bacteria; Pseudomonadati; Pseudomonadota; Gammaproteobacteria; Enterobacterales; Enterobacteriaceae.
GGAGCCGGCCUUGAAAUACCACCCUUUAAUGUUUGAUGUUCUAACGUGGACCCGUGAUCCGGGUUGCGGACAGUGUCUGGUGGGUAGUUUGACUGGGGCGGUCUCCUCCUAAAGAGUAACGGAGGAGCACGAAGGUUGGCUAAUCCUGGUCGGACAUCAGGAGGUUAGUGCAAUGGCAUAAGCCAGCUUGACUGCGAGCGUGACGGCGCGAGCAGGUGCGAAAGCAGGUCAUAGUGAUCCGGUGGUUCUGAAUGGAAGGGCCAUCGCUCAACGGAUAAAAGGUACUCCGGGGAUAACAGGCUGAUACCGCCCAAGAGUUCAUAUCGACGGCGGUGUUUGGCACCUCGAUGUCGGCUCAUCACAUCCUGGGGCUGAAGUAGGUCCCAAGGGUAUGGCUGUUCGCCAUUUAAAGUGGUACGCGAGCUGGGUUUAGAACGUCGUGAGACAGUUCGGUCCCUAUCUGCCGUGGGCGCUGGAGAACUGAGGGGGGCUGCUCCUAGUACGAGAGGACCGGAGUGGACGCAUCACUGGUGUUCGGGUUGUCAUGCCAAUGGCACUGCCCGGUAGCUAAAUGCGGAAGAGAUAAGUGCUGAAAGCAUCUAAGCACGAAACUUGCCCCGAGAUGAGUUCUCCCUGAGACUUAGAGUCUCCUGAAGGAACGUUGAAGACGACGACGUUGAUAGGCCGGGUGUGUAAGCGCAGCGAUGCGUUGAGCUAACCGGUACUAAUGAACCGUGAGGCUUAACCUUACA